UACGUAGGGUACAAGCGUUACACGGAAUUCCUGGGCGUAAAGCGUGCGUCGGCGGUAGGUUAAGUCUGCUGUGAAAUCCCUGGGCUCAACCUGGGAAUGGCGAUGGAUACUGGCCUGCUGGAGUACGGCAGAGGAAGGUUGAAUUCCCGGUGUAGCGGUGAAAUGCGUAGAGAUUGGGAGGAACAUCAGGGGCGAAGGCGACCUUCUGCGCCAGUACUGACGCUGAGGCACGAAAGCGUGGGGAGCAAACAGG
Molecule: ribosomal RNA, 253 nt
Filed under: uncultured bacterium
Lineage: Bacteria
Description: partial 16S ribosomal RNA
Rfam family: Bacterial small subunit ribosomal RNA
Source: RNAcentral